UACGUAGGGAGCGAGCGUUGUCCGGAAUUACUGGGUGUAAAGGGAGCGUAGGUGGGACUGCAAGUUGGGUGUCAAAUCUACCGGCUCAACCGGUAGCCGCACUCAAAACUGCAGUUCUUGAGUGAAGUAGAGGCAGGCGGAAUUCCUAGUGUAGCGGUGAAAUGCGUAGAUAUUCGGAGGAACACCGGUGGCGAAGGCGGCCAACUGGGCUUUAACUGACGCUGAGGCUCGAAAGUGUGGGGAGCAAACAGG
Molecule: ribosomal RNA, 252 nt
Filed under: uncultured bacterium
Lineage: Bacteria
Description: partial 16S ribosomal RNA
Rfam family: Bacterial small subunit ribosomal RNA
Source: RNAcentral